GAUGAACGCUGGCGGCGUGCCUAAUACAUGCAAGUCGAGCGAACAGACGAGGAGCUUGCUCCUCUGACGUUAGCGGCGGACGGGUGAGUAACACGUGGAUAACCUACCUAUAAGACUGGGAUACUUCGGGAAACCGGAGCUAAUACCGGAUAAUAUAUUGAACCGCAUGGUUCAAUAGUGAAAGACGGUUUUGCUGUCACUUAUAGAUGGAUCCGCGCCGCAUUAGCUAGUUGGUAAGGUAACGGCUUACCAAGGCAACGAUGCGUAGCCGACCUGAGAGGGUGAUCGGCCACACUGGAACUGAGACACGGUCCAGACUCCUACGGGAGGCAGCAGUAGGGAAUCUUCCGCAAUGGGCGAAAGCCUGACGGAGCAACGCCGCGUGAGUGAUGAAGGUCUUCGGAUCGUAAAACUCUGUUAUUAGGGAAGAGCAAAUGUGUAAGUAACUAUGCACGUCUUGACGGUACCUAAUCAGAAAGCCACGGCUAACUACGUG
This 496-nucleotide ribosomal RNA is filed under the name uncultured bacterium. RNAcentral describes it as "partial 16S ribosomal RNA". It matches the Rfam family "Bacterial small subunit ribosomal RNA", at positions 28 to 507 of the family's 1533-position model. The record is from RNAcentral.